Small nuclear RNA from Sorex fumeus (smoky shrew), 102 nucleotides. NCBI's taxonomy places the organism in Eukaryota, Metazoa, Chordata, Mammalia, Eulipotyphla, Soricidae. The record is from RefSeq and is a predicted model, not a curated record.
UUGCUUUCAAAGCACAUGUGCUAAAUUUGGAAUCAUAUAGAGAGAUUAUUACGGUCCCUGAGCAAGGAUGACACUCAAGUUGGUGAAGCAUUUCAUAAUUUU